CAAUAGCGUAUAUUAAAGCUGUUGCGGUUAAAAAGCUCGUAGUUGGAUUUCUGUCAAGGACAACUGGUCCGCCCUCCGGGUGAGCACAUAGUUUGGUCUUGGCAUCUUGCUGGAAACUGUUGCUGCGCUUGGUUGUGUGGUGCAGCUUUCAGCACUUUCACUUUGAGGAAAUUGGAGUGUUUCAAGCAGGCACAUGCCUUUGGACACAGUAGCAUGGAAUAAUUAGAUUGGGCUUUUGCUCCAACUUGUUGGUUCCUGGAGCUGAGGUGAGAAUCAAUGGGGAUUGUUGGGGGCAUCCGAAUUUAGCCGUCAGAGGUGAAAUUCUUGGAUCUGCUAAAGACGGACAACUGCGAAAGCGUUUGCACAGGAUGUUUUCAUUGA
Molecule: ribosomal RNA, 381 nt
Filed under: uncultured eukaryote
Lineage: Eukaryota
Description: partial 18S ribosomal RNA
Rfam family: Eukaryotic small subunit ribosomal RNA
Source: RNAcentral